Long non-coding RNA from Nothoprocta perdicaria, 1053 nucleotides. RefSeq lists it as uncharacterized. NCBI's taxonomy places the organism in Eukaryota, Metazoa, Chordata, Aves, Tinamiformes, Tinamidae. The transcript has 3 exons. The record is from RefSeq and is a predicted model, not a curated record.
AGCUCGGCUGAUCCCAGGGACGAGGAGGCCUGAGGAUUUCCUGCCCUGAAAAUGAGGAGGUGGAGACCGUGGGGCAGGCGGACAGACGUGUGAUGUGCUGCCCGGCAGGAAGGCGCCCCGACACCGCAGCUGACUCUGGCUGUCCUGGCUGACCGAUUGCUUCGUGCUUCUUGGAAUGCCUGCAGACACAAUCAAACUACACCCGUCUCUCUUAGUGCAAGAAGAAAUGGUUUAGGAUCAGGCACUUAAUUCCACAUUGGACUCUCUUCCCUGCUUUUCACGGCACUGCUGUCCCCCUCCAGCCUUGCUGAGCUCCAGUGGCCACAGCGGUGCUUUCUGGUGCAUGAGGACAACUCUGCUAUUAAAACUGCGCUGCUCUCAUGUUCUGGACUGGUAUGUCUGGCUUAAAACCAGUACCAAAGCUAUUAGGGGGCUUAUAUUGCUGGUCAGUGAACAAAGGAGAUACAAUCCCCAAGUUCCUGUGGUAGAAUAAAUGUUUACCACAUGUCUUUUUUUAGGAGAAGACUUAAACGUUUCAAUCCUCUUUGGCCUGAACUAAAAUGUAGAUUUUUUCCAAAGUAGGAAUGUGGGAAGGUUUACUUUCAUGGGAAUACAAGUGUAGAACUAUCUGUCUAUACUUCCAAAGCAGGUUACUAGGCUAUAGGAAGGAAAAAGAAAAAAGGAUUUUAAAGAAACGUUCAAAGAUGUGAGACUUAAGGGAGCUAUUUUACCUACUGAUCAGCAAAGGCCUUGCAUUUUUUUUUAUUAAUCAGUACUGAAAAUAAAACAUUGGCACCUUUUAAAUGAUUUUUUUUUCUCCCAUGGGAAAGGUUUAGAGCUGAAAGAGUUAAGUUGCAACCAUAUUUAGCAGGAUUGAGCACCCAGUUCUCUUAGGCUCCUUUGAAAAAUGCUGCCAGCAAAUUGUCUUCAGGAAAUUUAGCCUUUAUUGUAUGGUAAUAGAAUGGAAAAAUAUUUAGUUGCUAUUAAAAAUUCCUGAUAACUUUUCUGAUAUAAAUCAAUUUCAGACAAUUGUGUGUCUCUUUUGAAUUGUUU